This 30-nucleotide non-coding RNA is filed under the name Rattus norvegicus (Norway rat). Lineage: Eukaryota; Metazoa; Chordata; Mammalia; Rodentia; Muridae. The record is from RNAcentral.
UCUCUGAUCUCUCUCUGUGUGCUCCCAAGC